This 977-nucleotide ribosomal RNA is filed under the name Acidovorax sp. CCH12-A4. Its description in RNAcentral is "bacterial LSU rRNA". It matches the Rfam family "Bacterial large subunit ribosomal RNA", at positions 1953 to 2925 of the family's 2925-position model. The record is from RNAcentral. Lineage: Bacteria; Pseudomonadati; Pseudomonadota; Betaproteobacteria; Burkholderiales; Comamonadaceae.
AAGGUAGCGAAAUUCCUUGUCGGGUAAGUUCCGACCUGCACGAAUGGCGUAACGAUGGCCACACUGUCUCCUCCUGAGACUCAGCGAAGUUGAAAUGUUUGUGAUGAUGCAAUCUCCCCGCGGAAAGACGGAAAGACCCCAUGAACCUUUACUGUAGCUUUGUAUUGGACUUUGAACAGAUCUGUGUAGGAUAGGUGGGAGGCUUUGAAGUGAGGACGCUAGUUCUCAUGGAGCCAACGUUGAAAUACCACCCUGGUGUGUUUGAGGUUCUAACCUAGGUCCAUUAUCUGGAUCGGGGACAGUGCAUGGUAGGCAGUUUGACUGGGGCGGUCUCCUCCCAAAGCGUAACGGAGGAGUUCGAAGGUACGCUAGUUACGGUCGGACAUCGUGACGAUAGUGCAAUGGCAUAAGCGUGCUUAACUGCGAGACUGACAAGUCGAGCAGAUGCGAAAGCAGGACAUAGUGAUCCGGUGGUUCUGUAUGGAAGGGCCAUCGCUCAACGGAUAAAAGGUACUCUGGGGAUAACAGGCUGAUACCGCCCAAGAGUUCAUAUCGACGGCGGUGUUUGGCACCUCGAUGUCGGCUCAUCUCAUCCUGGGGCUGUAGCCGGUCCCAAGGGUAUGGCUGUUCGCCAUUUAAAGAGGUACGUGAGCUGGGUUUAAAACGUCGUGAGACAGUUUGGUCCCUAUCUUCCGUGGGCGCUGCAGAUUUGAGGAAGCCUGCUCCUAGUACGAGAGGACCGGAGUGGACACACCUCUGGUGUAUCGGUUGUCACGCCAGUGGCAUUGCCGAGUAGCUAAGUGUGGAAGAGAUAACCGCUGAAAGCAUCUAAGCGGGAAACUCGUUUCAAGAUGAGAUCUGCCGGGGCCUUGAGCCCCCUAAAGAGUCGUUCAAGACCAGGACGUUGAUAGGCUGGGUGUGGAAGCGCAGUAAUGCGUUAAGCUAACCAGUACUAAUUGCUCGUGCGGCUUGACCCU